This is a long non-coding RNA of Tarenaya hassleriana, 323 nucleotides long. RefSeq lists it as uncharacterized. The transcript is spliced from 2 exons. The record is from RefSeq and is a predicted model, not a curated record. NCBI's taxonomy places the organism in Eukaryota, Viridiplantae, Streptophyta, Magnoliopsida, Brassicales, Cleomaceae.
CGGAAUCCCUCCUCCCGUCGUCGCUGUGAUUCUCUUCUCUCUAGAGAAAUCGAGGGCGAGGAUCUGCGUUUGUCACCAUGAGGGCGAAGUGGAAGAAGAAACGUAUGAGGAGGCUGAAGAGAAAGCGCAGAAAGAUGAGGCAGAGAUCCAAGUAGAAGUCCAGUCUGUGGCUUUUGGUCUGCAACAGCCUUCCGCUUUUACUGAGUUGUAGCGUCGGUAUCUAAGACUCUUUGAGAACUCAUCGUCCCUGUGCUGUGUGCUCUAUGUAUGGAUCCUCUGCAGUCGUCUCGUAUAUAUUGUCAUUGUUUCAUUCGUGCAACUAA